Molecule: ribosomal RNA, 497 nt
Filed under: uncultured bacterium
Lineage: Bacteria
Description: partial 16S ribosomal RNA
Rfam family: Bacterial small subunit ribosomal RNA
Source: RNAcentral
GAUGAACGCUGGCGGCGUGCCUAAUACAUGCAAGUCGAGCGAACGGACGAGAAGCUUGCUUCUCUGAUGUUAGCGGCGGACGGGUGAGUAACACGUGGAUAACCUACCUAUAAGACUGGGAUAACUUCGGGAAACCGGAGCUAAUACCGGAUAAUAUUUUGAACCGCAUGGUUCAAAAGUGAAAGACGGUCUUGCUGUCACUUAUAGAUGGAUCCGCGCUGCAUUAGCUAGUUGGUAAGGUAACGGCUUACCAAGGCAACGAUGCAUAGCCGACCUGAGAGGGUGAUCGGCCACACUGGAACUGAGACACGGUCAAGACUCCUAAGGGAGGCAGCAGUAGGGAAUCUUACGCAAUGGGCGAAAGCCUGACGGAGCAACGCCGAGUGAGUGAUGAAGGUCUUCGGAUCGUAAAACUCUGUUAUUAGGGAAGAACAUAUGUGUAAGUAACUGUGCACAUCUUGACGGUACCUAAUCAGAAAGCCACGGCUAACUACGUG